Molecule: ribosomal RNA, 529 nt
Filed under: uncultured bacterium
Lineage: Bacteria
Description: bacterial SSU rRNA
Rfam family: Bacterial small subunit ribosomal RNA
Source: RNAcentral
AAUAGAUACCCGGGUAGUCCACGCCGUAAACGAUGAGUGCUAGGUGUUAGGGGGGUCCAACCCCUUAGUGCUGAAGUUAACACAUUAAGCACUCCGCCUGGGGAGUACGACCGCAAGGUUGAAACUCAAAGGAAUUGACGGGGGCCCGCACAAGCAGUGGAGCAUGUGGUUUAAUUCGAAGCAACGCAAAGAACCUUACCAGGUCUUGACAUCCUCUGACAACCCUAGAGAUAGGGCGUUCCCCUUCGGGGGACAGAGUGACAGGUGGUGCAUGGUUGUCGUCAGCUCGUGUCGUGAGAUGUUGGGUUAAGUCCCGCAACGAGCGCAACCCUUGAUGUUAGUUGCCAGCAUUCAGUUGGGCACUCUAACGUGACUGCCGGUGACAAACCGGAGGAAGGUGGGGAUGACGUCAAAUCAUCAUGCCCCUUAUGACCUGGGCUACACACGUGCUACAAUGGGCGGUACAAAGGGCAGCGAAACCGCGAGGUGGAGCCAAUCCCAUAAAGCCGCUCUCAGUUCGGAUUGCAGG